GCCCGGCUGGCUCAGUUGGUAGAGCAUGCGACUCUUGAUCUCAGGGUUGUGGGUUUCAGCCCCACAUUGGGUG
RNAcentral lists this transfer RNA (73 nucleotides) under Ailuropoda melanoleuca (giant panda). It matches the Rfam family "tRNA". Rfam says of the family: Transfer RNA (tRNA) molecules are approximately 80 nucleotides in length. Their secondary structure includes four short double-helical elements and three loops (D, anti-codon, and T loops). Lineage: Eukaryota; Metazoa; Chordata; Mammalia; Carnivora; Ursidae. The record is from Rfam by way of RNAcentral.